This 253-nucleotide ribosomal RNA is filed under the name uncultured bacterium. Its description in RNAcentral is "partial 16S ribosomal RNA". It matches the Rfam family "Bacterial small subunit ribosomal RNA", at positions 524 to 776 of the family's 1533-position model. The record is from RNAcentral.
UACGGAGGAUGCAAGCGUUAUCCGGAAUGAUUGGGCGUAAAGCGUCCGCAGGUGGCUAUGUAAGUCUGCUGUUAAAGAGCAAGGCUCAACCUUGUAAAGGCAGUGGAAACUACAUGGCUAGAGUGCGUUCGGGGCAGAGGGAAUUCCUGGUGUAGCGGUGAAAUGCGUAGAGAUCAGGAAGAACACCGGUGGCGAAGGCGCUCUGCUAGGCCGUAACUGACACUGAGGGACGAAAGCUAGGGGAGCGAAUGGG